UACGGGGGGAGCAAGCGUUGUUCGGAUUUACUGGGCGUAAAGGGCGGGUAGGCGGCCACCGCAAGUCAGUUGUGAAAUCUCUGGGCUUAACCUAGAAAGGUCAACUGAUACUGCGGGGCUAGAGUGCAGAAGGGGCAACUGGAAUUCUCGGUGUAGCGGUGAAAUGCGUAGAUAUCGAGAGGAACACCUGCGGCGAAGGCGGGUUGCUGGGCUGACACUGACGCUGAACUGCGAAAGCUAGGGGAGCGAACGGG
RNAcentral lists this ribosomal RNA (254 nucleotides) under uncultured bacterium. RNAcentral describes it as "partial 16S ribosomal RNA". It matches the Rfam family "Bacterial small subunit ribosomal RNA", at positions 524 to 776 of the family's 1533-position model. The record is from RNAcentral.